Molecule: ribosomal RNA, 301 nt
Filed under: uncultured bacterium
Lineage: Bacteria
Description: partial 16S ribosomal RNA
Rfam family: Bacterial small subunit ribosomal RNA
Source: RNAcentral
CAGUAGCCGCGGGAAUACGGAGGGUGCGAGCGUUAAUCGGAAUAACUGGGCGUAAAGGGCACGCAGGCGGUGACUUAAGUGAGGUGUGAAAGCCCCGGGCUUAACCUGGGAAUUGCAUUUCAUACUGGGUCGCUAGAGUACUUUAGGGAGGGGUAGAAUUCCACGUGUAGCGGUGAAACGCGUAGAGAUGUGGAGGAAUACCGAAGGCGAAGGCAGCCCCUUGGGAAUGUACUGACGCUCAUGUGCGAAAGCGUGGGGAGCAAACAGGAUUAGAUACCCCCGUAGUCCCUGUCUCUUAUAC